GCUGCAUGGAUACAAAUUUGACAGGUAGUGUUGUCGUCAUUGUUACAAUAUAAUUUAUCUUCUGUAAUUAGUUCUUUGUAUUAAAAUCAUUCAAUGCUGCUCUGAUGAUGAAUAUAUGAAAUAUAACCAUACAUAGUAAACUAUCUGUAAAUGCAAUGGAAUGACCCUAAAUAGUAUGUGUUGUGUUCGCUUAUUGUUGAACUAUUCAGAACCAUUAUGGAAACUUUUCUUUUUGUGGAGUUGCUUUGGAGUCGCAAAUGAGAAGUCAUGGAACUGGAAAAUAGAAUUGAAGUCUCUGAGACUUAAUGGAUUAGAUUUGGGUGCUUCAAGAGCAAACUUAGGAAAACAUUCUGGGAUUUUUUUUGGACAAUAAGGCUUAUUGAUGAAAAAUGUUAGGCCUCUUUUUUGUCUUUGUUAAAGCCAAUCAUAUUAAGUCAAUGGAGUAAAGAUGAAAUUUUUGAAAACUCUCAUUUACUAGUGUAUGAGUUUGUGCGUGUGCUGCUUUUUUUUUAUUCUUUUUGUUUUCUUGGGUUGAGGGGGUGCUAGGACGAGCAUGUUGAACUCUUCAACCAGAUUUAUUGCCACAUGAAUCAAUCUGAUUUCUUUUUCUUUUCAUGACUUUUGUGGUUGUACAUUUUAGCAUUAACACAGUGUACUACAUG
RNAcentral lists this unclassified non-coding RNA (662 nucleotides) under Hevea brasiliensis (rubber tree). The record is from RNAcentral. Lineage: Eukaryota; Viridiplantae; Streptophyta; Magnoliopsida; Malpighiales; Euphorbiaceae.